Lipotes vexillifer (Yangtze River dolphin) is the source of this 73-nucleotide non-coding RNA. NCBI's taxonomy places the organism in Eukaryota, Metazoa, Chordata, Mammalia, Artiodactyla, Lipotidae. The record is from the annotation of a RefSeq genome assembly.
UCCCUGGUGGUCCAGUGGUUAGGACUCUGCACUUUGACUGCUGGGGGUGCAGGUUCAAUCCCUGGUCAGGGAA